UGUCGCCGACCAAAACAUUCAGCUUCUGGCGGUGACAGCAGAGCAGCGGAACAGAACGACAGGACACGAUGCUGGAUUUAUUCGACAUUUAAACCACUUAGUGAAGCUUUUAAACGAGACGUUUUUUCAGCUAAAUUAGCUAAAAUUCCGUUGCUAACCGGGAAAGUUGUCGACCUACUAGUGACUCUUUAAGUUAGUGUGAAGCCAGCUAGCUUAACCUGCUGGGUGACAUUAGCUUACAUGAAAUAUAAAUAAACAACGUAGUUUUAUUAAGGGGAAAUAUCAGUCUCCUGAGCAGAUGCCUCGUCCGGAGAAGUCAAACGGCAGAGGGACGAAAAGGCUACAACUAGACUGGAAGUUUGUCCAGAGGUUCUGCAGCAUCCAGAAGAUUCUGUUCCCAUCAUGGAGCAGUCAGAGUGUCUUGAUGUUUGGUACGCUGCUUUGCGUCACUCUGACAGAGCAGCUGAUCAUUUACCAAGUGGGCAUCCUCCCCAGUCACUUCUACAAUGUGCUCGGGGACAAAAACUACUCCGGCUUCAAGAAUCUGUUGGGCACAGCCAUGGUGCUGAUUGUGGUCAACUCCACGCUGAAAAGUGUUGACCAGUACAUUUGCAAUCAGAUGUAUGUUAGCUGGAGGAAGACGCUGACUGAGAGCCUCCAUUCGGCCUAUUUCCAGGGCAGAGUCUAUUACACACUCAAUGUACUCAGAGAGGACGUAGAUAACCCAGACCAGCGGAUCAGUCAGGAUGCAGAGAGGCUGUGUAAGCAGAUGAGCACGAUGGCGAGUCGCUUGAUUGUCUCUCCGUUUACUCUGGGUUAUUACACCUAUCACUGCUUUCACAGCACCGGCUGGAUCGGUCCUGUGAGUAUCUUUGGUUAUUUUGUGGUUGGGACCGUUGCCAAUAAAAUCCUCAUGGGGCCGAUUGUGUCAACUCUGUUUGAGCAAGAAAAACUGGAGGGAGACUUCAGAUUCAAGCACAUGCAAAUCCGUGUCAAUGCAGAGUCUGCAGCCUUUUACAGAGCUGGUAAAGUGGAGCACAUGAGGACGGACAGAAGACUGCAGACUCUGCUGCAGACGCAAAAACGCCUCAUAAACAAGGAGCUGUGGCUUUACAUUGGGGUGAACACCUUUGACUACCUCGGAGGUUUACUCAGCUACAUCAUAAUCUCCAUUCCCAUCUUUACUGGUGUUUAUGAUGAUCUGACUCCUGGUGAACUCAGCGCACUCAUCAGUAAGAAUGCCUUUGUGUGCAUCUACUUGAUAAAUGGCUUCACGCAGCUAAUAGACCUGUCAACGACUCUGUCAGAUGUGGCCGGAUACACCCACAGGAUCGGGGAGCUGAGGGAGGUGAUGGAUGACAUCCUACGCAAGCAGUGUGACUACGACCCCGCGUCAGGGGAAAGCUACGACUUUGACAGUGACUUCAACAUCCACGGAGGCCCUACAGACACUGCCUUCAUCCUGGACAGUCUUUCAUACAAAUCUCCUUAUUCAGAUCAGCUGCUGGUGGAAGAUCUGAGUCUGAAAAUCAGCCAGGGAACUCACCUUCUGGUAGUGGGGAACACGGGCACCGGCAAGACAUCGCUGCUGAGAGUUCUUAACCGUCUGUGGGAGGCCGACAGCGGUUUUGUCCAGAUGACGACAUGUUUCGGGCCCAGAGGAACCCUCUUCCUGCCUCAGAAGCCCUAUCUGACUGAUGGGACUCUACGUGAACAGGUGAUCUACCCACUGAAGGAUAUUUACCCUGAAUCAGGGUCAGUGGAUGAUGAGAGAAUUAUACAUUUCCUGGAACUAGCUGGAGUGUCCAGUCUCCUGAAGCGGACCGGAGGGCUGGAUGAAAAAGUGGACUGGAACUGGUACGAUGUUCUGUCUCCAGGUGAAAUGCAGCGUCUCUGCUUUGCACGGCUCUUUUACCUGCAGCCCAAAUAUGCAGUUUUAGAUGAGGCCACCAGCGCUCUGACCGAGGAGGCGGAGGCACAGCUGUACCGGACCUGUAAACAGCUGGGCAUGACGUUGAUCAGUCUGGGACACCGUAGCAGCCUGGAGAAGUAUCAUGAUGUCCAGUUGAAGCUCUGCGGAGAAGGCCGGUGGGAGUUAACUAAGUUAAAAGGAGCCAGCGGGAGUCUCAGUCUCAGCGAGGACGAAUUCUGAUCUGUCUUCUCUUUAAAGCAUCGAUGUUCAUAUUAAUUCAACAGCAUUCAAGUGCUCUUCAUCGAGACCAAAGAACUACAGACUCUUCACAACCUGCUCAAACUCUUGGUACAGGACCUCACCACACGGGUCAAGAAGGUUUCCGUCUCAUUUCUACUCUGAAGCUCACCUUCUCCUGCUCAAACUGCUGACAAAUGUUUCUGCUGCUCUAAAGUCUGCUCUCCAGAACUUCCUAAAAACUCUCAAAGUCUCUUCUGCUGCAGGUUGCUUUGUAGAACUGUUGCAGAAAACCUCACUAAACCACAUGGAGGGGCCUCAAGAUAGUCGUCCAAAUGAAUCCGUACAAAAACCAAACUAGCACAACCCAAACGCUAAAGUCUCCUGCAGCCUACCAGAGAACCUCUGAGAACAGAGAAUCAGGACAGGAACUCUUACCUUCUGGACAACCAACGUUGCUUCACAACAAGAAUACAGAAUGUGUCUGACCAAAAACCUCUAAAGACUCACUACAGCCAAGAUAAAGACACAACUCAGCUGCAUCAAAUCCACUAAUCACUGCACACAUUACCACCAUGUUCUAACUGUGGCUAAAGAACCACCUUUACCAAGACAACUAUCCAGUACAAAGCCCUAAAACACACCAAGAAACACAUUAAAGACGAUUUUACUGCUGGAAGCUGCAAGCCAACGCCUAAAGAAAAAACUAAAGCAAUGGAGCCAAACCCGGUUCAGUGGUGAACAGAAGCAGAGGAAAUGUUUGUCUGCAGCUAAAUAAAGCAGGAAGACACUGAGCUGCUCAGGUGUUCCUGAUAACACCAAGCAGCCACCUGGACAGCCAAUAGGAACACAGCUUACUGGAAGUCCAGAGGGCUGGCUUAGUGAAGGAAAUUUAGUUUAAAGUUGAAGCAGAAAGUUAACAAAGAAAGUUGAAAACCACCUUCUGAUCCCUGAAAUCUCUGAGUUUUCACACAAAGAACGCCUGAACAUGUCAAACUGGUUCCAUAGUAGAACCAUCAUUGUAAAAACGUCAUAGUAUGGUGUAUUGCUCAAAAAACAUUAGGACCCAGCUGUCUAGUGUUGCCGAGGAGCAACACAAAAACAGGACAAACGCUGGUUUCCAGGGGGUUAGGCAGCUAUUUAUUUGAAAGAGUGAGUUUACAACACAUGUGAGCAGAAAAAUCACAAAGUCUGUCUUUAGUUCAGCUGAAAAUAUUAGUUUUUGUCUUUUUUAUUGACCAAACUUUUCAAGAAGUACAUGAAGAAUAAUUAAAGCUCUCAUGUAGAAGUCCAGCUUAUUUUGGAUCCUUGCGGAGAGUUUAAUCUUUGAGUUUGUAAAACUGUUGAGUUUUUAGAGUCACAUGGAUUGUUUUGACAUUUAAUAACCAAGUCCUGAAAUAAAAUGACAGUUGUGGAUUUCUGUCAUUUAGUCUGGACUAAAAAAUUAACAGCAGCAUAAAUCUCAAACGUUAUUAUGAGGAGUCUGGAUUGAGGUUUCUCACUUGAUAAUGAUCAAAACAUGAAGUUUAGGUUGGUUUAAAGGAAUAUUCCACCUUAAAUCUUUGAAUGUUGACCUAAAAAGUUGUGGAGUAUAGCAUGUCCUCCAUAAAAUGUCAUAGUUUAGUAUGUCGUCCAAAAUGUCACAAAAACGUCAUAGUUUAGUAUGUCGUCCAAAAUAUGACAAAAAUGUCAUAGUUUAGUAUGAUGUCCAAAAUAUGACAAAAACGUCAUAGUUUAGUAUGUCGUCCAAAAUAUGACAAAAACAACAUAGUUUAGUAUGUCGUCCAAAAUAUGACAAAAACAUCAUAGUUUAGAAUGUCGUCCAAAAUAUGAAAAAAAUGUCACAGUUUAGUAUGUUGUCCAAAAUGUCACGAAAACGUCAUAGUUUAGUAUGUCGUCCAAAAUAUCACUAAAACGUCAUAGUUUAGUAUGUGGUCCAAAAUGUGACAAAAACGUCAUAGGUUAGUAUGUCGUCCAAAAUAUGACCAAAACAUCAUAGUUUAGUAUGUCGUCCAAAAUAUGACAAAAACCUCAUAGUUUAGUAUGUCGUCCAAAAUGUGACAAAAACGUCAUAGUUUAGUAUGUUGUCCAAAAUGUGACAAAAACAUAGAUAGUUUAGUAUGUCGUCCAAAAUAUAACAAAAACGUCAUAGUUUCGUAUGUCGUCCAAAAUGGGACAAAAAUGUCAUAGUUUCGUAUGUCGUCCAAAAUGUGACAAAAACGUCAUAGAUUAGUAUGUCGUCCAAAAUGUGAAAAAAA
RNA transcript from Amphiprion ocellaris (clown anemonefish), 4407 nucleotides. It is a transcript of the gene named ATP-binding cassette, sub-family D (ALD), member 4, with no coding region annotated. The transcript is spliced from 20 exons. NCBI's taxonomy places the organism in Eukaryota, Metazoa, Chordata, Actinopteri, Pomacentridae. The record is from RefSeq and is a predicted model, not a curated record.